Molecule: ribosomal RNA, 877 nt
Filed under: Thyridariaceae sp.
Lineage: Eukaryota; Fungi; Ascomycota; Dothideomycetes; Pleosporales; Thyridariaceae
Description: partial large subunit ribosomal RNA
Rfam family: Eukaryotic large subunit ribosomal RNA
Source: RNAcentral
AAAGAAACCAACAGGGAUUGCCCCAGUAACGGCGAGUGAAGCGGCAACAGCUCAAAUUUGAAAUCUGGCUCCUUUGGGGUCCGAGUUGUAAUUUGCAGAGGGUGCUUUGGCGUCGGCCGUGGUCUAAGUUCCUUGGAACAGGACGUCACAGAGGGUGAGAAUCCCGUACGUGGCCGCCGGCCUUCGCCGUGUAAAGCCCCUUCGACGAGUCGAGUUGUUUGGGAAUGCAGCUCUAAAUGGGAGAUAAAUUUCUUCUAAAGCUAAAUAUUGGCCAGAGACCGAUAGCGCACAAGUAGAGUGAUCGAAAGAUGAAAAGCACUUUGGAAAGAGAGUCAAAAAGCACGUGAAAUUGUUGAAAGGGAAGCGCUUGCAGCCAGACGUGCCCGCAGUUGCUCACCCGGGCUUUUGCCCGGGGCACUCUUCUGUGGGCAGGCCAGCAUCAGUUCGGGCGGUUGGAUAAAGGCCUCUGUCACGUACCACCCUCUCGGGGGCGGCCUUAUAGGGGAGGCGCAACACGACCAGCCCGAACUGAGGACCGCGCAUUAUGCUAGGAUGCUGGCGUAAUGGCUGUAAGCGGCCCGUCUUGAAACACGGACCAAGGAGUCUAACAUCUAUGCGAGUGUUUGGGUGUCAAGCCCGGGCGCGCAAUGAAAGUGAACGGAGGUGGGAACCCCUCGGGGCGCACCAUCGACCGAUCCUGAAGUCUUCGGAUGGAUUUGAGUAAGAGCAUAGCUGUUGGGACCCGAAAGAUGGUGAACUAUGCCUGAAUAGGGUGAAGCCAGGGGAAACCCUGGUGGAGGCUCGCAGCGGUUCUGACGUGCAAAUCGAUCGUCAAAUUUGGGCAUAGGGGCGAAAGACUAAUCGAACCAUCUAGUAG